UACGGAGGGGGCUAGCGUUGUUCGGAAUUACUGGGCGUAAAGCGCGCGUAGGCGGACCUGCAAGUCGGGGGGUGAAAGCCCGAGGCUCAACCUCGGAACUGCCUUCGAUACUGCGGGUCUCGAGUCCGGGAGAGGUGAGUGGAAUUCCUAGUGUAGAGGUGAAAUUCGUAGAUAUUAGGAAGAACACCAGUGGCGAAGGCGGCUCACUGGCCCGGUAACUGACGCUGAGGUGCGAAAGCGUGGGGAGCAAACAGG
RNAcentral lists this ribosomal RNA (255 nucleotides) under uncultured bacterium. RNAcentral's name for it is "partial 16S ribosomal RNA". It matches the Rfam family "Bacterial small subunit ribosomal RNA", at positions 524 to 776 of the family's 1533-position model. The record is from RNAcentral.